This 631-nucleotide ribosomal RNA is filed under the name uncultured Actinomycetes bacterium. Its description in RNAcentral is "bacterial SSU rRNA". It matches the Rfam family "Bacterial small subunit ribosomal RNA", at positions 858 to 1476 of the family's 1533-position model. The record is from RNAcentral. Lineage: Bacteria; Bacillati; Actinomycetota; Actinomycetes.
CAUUAAGUGCCCCGCCUAGGGGAGUACGGCCGCAAGGCUAANACUCAAAGGAAUUGACGGGGGCCCGCACAAGCGGCGGAGCAUGUUGCUUAAUUCGAUGCNACGCGAAGAACCUUACACUAGGCUUCGACAUGCAGGGAAUAAGCCGUGGAAACACAGGUGUACCUUCGGGGUCCUGCACAGGUGGUGCAUGGCUGUCGUCAGCUCGUGUCGUGAGAUGUUGGGUUAAAGUCCCGCAACGAGCGCAACCCUUGUCCUAUGUUGCCAGCGGGUAAUGCCGGGGACUCGUAGGAGACUGCCGGGGUCAACUCGGAGGAAGGUGGGGAUGACGUCAAGUCAUCAUGCCCCUUAUGCCUAGGGCUGCAAACAUGCUACAAUGGCCGGUACAAAGGGCUGCAAACCCGCGAGGGGGAGCGAACCCCAGAAAGCCGGUCUCAGUNCGGAUCGUAGUCUGCAACUCGACUGCGUGAAGGUGGAGUCGCUAGUAAUCGACAGAUCAGCAUUGCUGCGGUGAAUACGUUCCCGGGCCUUGUACACACCGCCCGUCACACCACGAAAGUCGGCAACACCCGAAGUCAGUGGCCUAACCCGACAAGGNANGGAGCUGCUCGAAGGUGCGGGGUCGGCGANU